GCCUAUAGCUCAGUUGGUUAGAGCACCUGACUCAUAAUCAGGUGGUCCCAGGUUCAAGUCCUGGUGGGC
RNAcentral lists this transfer RNA (69 nucleotides) under marine eukaryotic metagenome. It matches the Rfam family "tRNA". From Rfam's summary of the family: Transfer RNA (tRNA) molecules are approximately 80 nucleotides in length. Their secondary structure includes four short double-helical elements and three loops (D, anti-codon, and T loops). The record is from RNAcentral.